ACUUCUUACUAGAAACGUGAUGCAUUCAAAAGCUCACGGCAUUAACUCAGGGCUUCAGAUAAACUGAGUGCAACUUCUCCCAGGCCUCUGUCACAUAGGAAGAACUAAUGAAGUUGGAGCAUUUCUCAAAUUUUUCUACUUAAAUAACAGUUCAUUUACUCAAACUUCUGGAAGAAUCAAAUGAUGCAGUUUAACAAGAAUGAGCUUCUAUUAAAUCAGUACUGAAAACUUCUAAAUGUGGAACCUAACAGGACUAGUUUGGAUUAAGGAAACCUGCUUUCAGAAUUUUUCUUUGUAAUGCACGAAAGUGCAGCAGUUUUCUAUUCUGGGGAAUAGAAAAGAAUCCCACACAUCAGAAGAUGAACAGAAGCCACAAUGGUGUAUUUCCACACAUUGACCUUUUCCAGAUACAAUUUCACUUCUGUUGAUGGUACAGCAAGCCUAAACACAUUCCACAAUGAUCCUCUGGCUUGCUUCUUUUAGCUGAAACUUACUCCCAAACUUGCUGUCAGUUUUCCUGCAGGUUAGGAGAAUCAGUCUUUAGAGAUUGCCUGGUCUCCUAUGACUUGAAAAGUGGGACUCCCUGUUUUUUGCCAUUGAGUAUCAGUCUCUGCCAUGGCAGUGGAAGAGGAAGCUGCUGACUGACAGAUGGCCCAAUCCCUGCUUUUUUAAGCAAGAAGAUCAGUGUUCUCUCCAAAUUAUCAACGUGCUGGUAGCUGUUUUCUACUAAGCAAAAUGUGAAAAAAUCGAGUCCGAAAAAAACCUCCUAUGACUUGUAAACUUUUCUAAUUCAACUCCUAAACUUGUAGCCUGAGGAAGCUAAUGUUUACUUUUUAAAAAACUGUUUAAUUUUUCACCUUCUUGUAAGUUAUCUAUAGUUUUAAUUUCAGCUUUCUAUGGUAAGUGUUGUGGGUGACCUCUGCUGGUUGACUAAAUAAAGUAAGCCCUGUACAUUCUCCAAGUCUUUCAAACAGGAAAAACAAUCCACUAACACUGGAAACAGUGUAAAUGCCUUUGUUUGUUAUGAGGAAGUAAAUUAUCUGCUAAGAAUCAUGACGUAUAUCAUCUAUGAAGUACAGUUUAAGAAAAUAAAGGAUUACUUGCAUGUUGAUAA
Long non-coding RNA from Corvus hawaiiensis (hawaiian crow), 1114 nucleotides. RefSeq lists it as uncharacterized. The transcript has 4 exons. NCBI's taxonomy places the organism in Eukaryota, Metazoa, Chordata, Aves, Passeriformes, Corvidae. The record is from RefSeq and is a predicted model, not a curated record.